CGUAGUCGAUGGGAAACAGGUUAAUAUUCCUGUACUUGGUGUUACUGCGAAGGGGGGACGGAGAAGGCUAUGUUGGCCGGGCGACGGUUGUCCCGGUUUAAGCGUGUAGGCUGGUUUUCCAGGCAAAUCCGGAAAAUCAAGGCUGAGGCGUGAUGACGAGGCACUACGGUGCUGAAGCAACAAAUGCCCUGCUUCCAGGAAAAGCCUCUAAGCAUCAGGUAACAUCAAAUCGUACCCCAAACCGACACAGGUGGUCAGGUAGAGAAUACCAAGGCGCUUGAGAGAACUCGGGUGAAGGAACUAGGCAAAAUGGUGCCGUAACUUCGGGAGAAGGCACGCUGAUAUGUAGGUGAAGUCCCUUGCGGAUGGAGCUGAAAUCAGUCGAAGAUACCAGCUGGCUGCAACUGUUUAUUAAAAACACAGCACUGUGCAAACACGAAAGUGGACGUAUACGGUGUGACGCCUGCCCGGUGCCGGAAGGUUAAUUGAUGGGGUCAGCGCAAGCGAAGCUCUUGAUCGAAGCCCCGGUAAACGGCGGCCGUAACUAUAACGGUCCUAAGGUAGCGAAAUUCCUUGUCGGGUAAGUUCCGACCUGCACGAAUGGCGUAAUGAUGGCCAGGCUGUCUCCACCCGAGACUCAGUGAAAUUGAACUCGCUGUGAAGAUGCAGUGUACCCGCGGCAAGACGGAAAGACCCCGUGAACCUUUACUAUAGCUUGACACUGAACAUUGAGCCUUGAUGUGUAGGAUAGGUGGGAGGCUUUGAAGUGUGGACGCCAGUCUGCAUGGAGCCGGCCUUGAAAUACCACCCUUUAAUGUUUGAUGUUCUAACGUGGACCCGUGAUCCGGGUUGCGGACAGUGUCUGGUGGGUAGUUUGACUGGGGCGGUCUCCUCCUAAAGAGUAACGGAGGAGCACGAAGGUUGGCUAAUCCUGGUCGGACAUCAGGAGGUUAGUGCAAUGGCAUAAGCCAGCUUGACUGCGAGCGUGACGGCGCGAGCAGGUGCGAAAGCAGGUCAUAGUGAUCCGGUGGUUCUGAAUGGAAGGGCCAUCGCUCAACGGAUAAAAGGUACUCCGGGGAUAACAGGCUGAUACCGCCCAAGAGUUCAUAUCGACGGCGGUGUUUGGCACCUCGAUGUCGGCUCAUCACAUCCUGGGGCUGAAGUAGGUCCCAAGGGUAUGGCUGUUCGCCAUUUAAAGUGGUACGCGAGCUGGGUUUAGAACGUCGUGAGACAGUUCGGUCCCUAUCUGCCGUGGGCGCUGGAGAACUGAGGGGGGCUGCUCCUAGUACGAGAGGACCGGAGUGGACGCAUCACUGGUGUUCGGGUUGUCAUGCCAAUGGCACUGCCCGGUAGCUAAAUGCGGAAGAGAUAAGUGCUGAAAGCAUCUAAGCACGAAACUUGCCCCGAGAUGAGUUCUCCCUGACCCUUUAAGGGUCCUGAAGGAACGUUGAAGACGACGACGUUGAUAGGCCGGGUGUGUAAGCGCAGCGAUGCGUUGAGCUAACCGGUACUAAUGAACCGUGAGG
RNAcentral lists this ribosomal RNA (1526 nucleotides) under Shigella sonnei. RNAcentral describes it as "partial 23S ribosomal RNA". It matches the Rfam family "Bacterial large subunit ribosomal RNA", at positions 1410 to 2915 of the family's 2925-position model. The record is from RNAcentral. Lineage: Bacteria; Pseudomonadati; Pseudomonadota; Gammaproteobacteria; Enterobacterales; Enterobacteriaceae.